RNAcentral lists this long non-coding RNA (445 nucleotides) under Brassica napus (rape). RNAcentral describes it as "long non-coding RNA (BNAP_LNC020124)". Lineage: Eukaryota; Viridiplantae; Streptophyta; Magnoliopsida; Brassicales; Brassicaceae. The record is from RNAcentral.
GAUAGACUUAGGGUUUCAUGCAAUCAAGAUUAUAGUGAUAUAGAAUACUUAAAUUGUCAAUCCUAGAACUCAAAUUCUAAUGUAAAGAUAUCCGGUUUCCGCAUGCGAGUCUUAUGUUUUGACUAAGUCCAAUAUCUCAGCUUCCGUUUGUUGAUACGGAUCGAAGAUCGAUUGAUGCUAUGAGAUUAGCGUCAAUCGAUGUUUUCUUAGGCAAGUUUUAGCGAGUUGAUUGAUAGGUUCACUAGUCUUAACUAAAUCAGCUAUCGCUUGUUACUAGCAAUCCAAGCUCAUCAAGGGAAUCUAUUCCAGUGCAGAACCUACCAUCGUAGUUGUCCAUAAUCCUAAGUUCUGGGUUCUAGCUAGCUACUCUAGAACACAAGCAUUACAAGCAAUUCUUUGAAGGAUAUCUAUCACCUUAAGGAUUAUAUAUUUUAGGGUAAUCCCU